Molecule: ribosomal RNA, 340 nt
Filed under: Sporothrix sp. SS-2011a
Lineage: Eukaryota; Fungi; Ascomycota; Sordariomycetes; Ophiostomatales; Ophiostomataceae
Description: eukaryotic LSU rRNA
Rfam family: 5.8S ribosomal RNA (bases 1-123)
Source: RNAcentral
CAUCGAUGAGAACGCAGCAAAAUGCGAUAAGUAAUGUGAAUUGCAGAAUUCAGUGAAUCAUCGAAUCUUUGAACGCACAUUGCGCCCGCCAGUAUUCUGGCGGGCAUGCCUGUUCGAGCGUCAUUUCAACCCUCAAGCCCCCGGGUUUGGUGUUGGGGAUCGGGCUGCGGUUCUGCCGCGCCCCGGCCCCGAAAUCUAGUGGCGGUCUCGCUGCAGCCUCCAUUGCGUAGUAGCUAACACCUCGCAACUGGAACGCGGCGCGGCCAAGCCGUUAAACCCCCAACUUCUGAAUGUUGACCUCGGAUCAGGUAGGAAUACCCGCUGAACUUAAGCAUAUCAU